GGUGCGCAGACAGCGGUUACUUCGACUCCUAAUCGGCAGGUCGCGGGUUCGAAUCCCGCCCGGGUCCA
Molecule: transfer RNA, 68 nt
Filed under: Nocardia uniformis
Lineage: Bacteria; Bacillati; Actinomycetota; Actinomycetes; Mycobacteriales; Nocardiaceae
Description: tRNA-OTHER
Source: RNAcentral